UGGCGGUAAAAAUUCAGUUGAUACAAUUAAAAAUAUUUUGCUCUUAAUGCAGCAUGAAUGGUCUAAAGAAGAAAACAAAUUUUAAAAAGUUGACAAGUCUAUGUAUCGCUAUCACAGAUGUUGCCUCAAAGUCAAAUAAAAGCUUAACCAAAAUGGAUCUCAUGUAACUUAUUGGAAGAUUAAUUAGGCAUUCUUCUGACCAAUUCAAGAGAAAAUCUACCAAUAUCGAUAUUGAUCAAUGAUGGCUUAAUUAACUUCAAUCAACUGUUGUGUUUUUUAUUUAUUUUGCAUUUUUCAGUAAUUUUCUUUUUACUUAUAAUAUACUAUCGAUUAUACUUUACAAAAUAUAUUAGUUUUUAGUUUGGA
Hydra vulgaris (swiftwater hydra) is the source of this 366-nucleotide long non-coding RNA. RefSeq lists it as uncharacterized. The record is from RefSeq and is a predicted model, not a curated record. Lineage: Eukaryota; Metazoa; Cnidaria; Hydrozoa; Anthoathecata; Hydridae.